Molecule: ribosomal RNA, 497 nt
Filed under: uncultured bacterium
Lineage: Bacteria
Description: partial 16S ribosomal RNA
Rfam family: Bacterial small subunit ribosomal RNA
Source: RNAcentral
GAUGAACGCUGGCGGCGUGCCUAAUACAUGCAAGUCGAGCGAACAGAUAAGGAGCUUGCUCCUUUGACGUUAGCGGCGGACGGGUGAGUAACACGUGGGUAACCUACCUAUAAGACUGGGAUAACUUCGGGAAACCGGAGCUAAUACCGGAUAACAUUUGGAACCGCAUGGUUCUAAAGUGAAAGAUGGUUUUGCUAUCACUUAUAGAUGGACCCGCGCCGUAUUAGCUAGUUGGUAAGGUAACGGCUUACCAAGGCGACGAUACGUAGCCGACCUGAGAGGGUGAUCGGCCACACUGGAACUGAGACACGGUCCAGACUCCUACGGGAGGCAGCAGUAGGGAAUCUUCCGCAAUGGGCGAAAGCCUGACGGAGCAACGCCGCGUGAGUGAUGAAGGGUUUCGGCUCGUAAAACUCUGUUAUUAGGGAAGAACAAAUGUGUAAGUAACUGUGCACGUCUUGACGGUACCUAAUCAGAAAGCCACGCCUAACUACGUG